RNAcentral lists this unclassified non-coding RNA (372 nucleotides) under uncultured Acidobacteriota bacterium. RNAcentral's name for it is "uncultured Acidobacteria bacterium contains 16S-23S intergenic spacer region". Lineage: Bacteria; Pseudomonadati; Acidobacteriota. The record is from RNAcentral.
UCCUGGUUAUCCCAGGCGGUUUCGCUAGAGUGCCCGGCUUGACCCGCUGGCAACUAACGAUAAGGGUUGCGCUCGUUGCGGGACUUAACCCAACAUCUCACGACACGAGCUGACGACAGCCAUGCAGCACCUCCACAGCAGUUCUUGCGAAAAGGGAUGUUUCCACCCCGGUCCACUGUGCUUCGAGCCCAGGUAAGGUUCUUCGCGUUGCGUCGAAUUGAACCACAUGCUCCACCGCUUGUGCGGGCCCCCGUCAAUUCCUUUGAGUUUCAUUCUUGCGAACGUACUCCCCAGGUGGGAUACUUAUCACUUUCGCUUAGCCACUGAGUUUGCACCCAACAGCUAGUAUCCAUCGUUUACGGCGUGGACUAC